This 342-nucleotide ribosomal RNA is filed under the name uncultured bacterium. RNAcentral describes it as "partial 16S ribosomal RNA". It matches the Rfam family "Bacterial small subunit ribosomal RNA", at positions 338 to 691 of the family's 1533-position model. The record is from RNAcentral.
CCUACGGGCGGCAGCAGUCGAGAAUCUUUCACAAUGGGGGAAACCCUGAUGGUGCGACGCCGCGUGGGGGAAUGAAGGUCUUCGGAUUGUAAACUCCUGUCAUGUGGGAGCAAAUUAAAAAGAUAGUACCACAAGAGGCAGAGACGGUUAACUCUGUGCCAGCAGCCGCGGUAAUACAGAGGUCUCAAGCGUUGUUCGGAAUCACUGGGCGUAAAGCGUGCGACGGCUGUUGCGUAAGUCGUGUGUGAAGGGCGCGGGCGCAACCCGCUGACGGCACAUGAUACUGCGAGUCGAGAGUAAUGGAGGGGGAACCGGAAUUCUCGUUGUAGCAGGGAAAGGGGU